This 558-nucleotide ribosomal RNA is filed under the name Adelphocoris lineolatus. Its description in RNAcentral is "partial small subunit ribosomal RNA". It matches the Rfam family "Bacterial large subunit ribosomal RNA", at positions 1794 to 2634 of the family's 2925-position model. Lineage: Eukaryota; Metazoa; Arthropoda; Insecta; Hemiptera; Miridae. The record is from RNAcentral.
CCUCGCCUGUUUAACAAAAACAUGUUCUUUUGUUUUAAAUAAAAGAUUUAACCUGCUCUAUGAUUAUUAAAUGGCUGCAGUAUUUUGACUGUACAAAGGUAGCAUAAUAAUUUGUCUUUUAAUUGAAGACUGGUAUGAAUGGUUGGAUGAGAAAUAUACUUUCUUUAUUUUAUAUAAAAAAAUUGAUUUUUUAGUUAAAAAGCUAAAAUAUUUUUAUAGGACGAGAAGACCCUAUAGAACUUUACUUUAAUAUAAAUAUACUAUUUAUAUAUUUUUAAAAUUUUAUAUUUUUAUUAAAGUUUUGUUGGGGUGACAAAAAAAAUUAUAUAACUUUUUUUUAUUAAAUCAUUAAUUUAUGUUUUUUUGAUCCUUUAUUAUGGAAAAUAAGAUUAAGUUACCUUAGGGAUAACAGCGUUAUUUUUUUGGAGAGUUCAUAUUGAUGAAGAAGUUUGCGACCUCGAUGUUGGAUUAAAAUAAGUUACAGGGGUAUAAUAUUGUACACUAGGUCUGUUCGACCUUUAAAUUUUUACAUGAUCGAUUUCCCACCCGGGAGGUUAC